UCUCCCUCUGUCCCCUGCCGUCGUUCCCCGCCGUUCCCCAUCGUUCCCCUCCGCUCGCCGCUGUUCCCCGUCGUCCCCCGCUGCUUCCUGCCACUCACCGCCGUCCCCCGCCGCUCCCCGCUGUCCCCCACCGCUCACCACUAUUGCCCGUUGUUCCCUGUCAUUCCAUGCCGCUCGCGAUCGUUCCCCGCCGCUCGCCACCGUCUCUUGUUGUCCCCCGUCAUCUCCUGUCAUCCCCCACCACUCACCACCGUUCCCCGUCGUCCCGCGCCAUCCCCCGCCGCUUGCCGCCGCUCGCCAGCGUGCCCCGCAGCUCGCCGCCGUCCCCCGCCGCUCCCUGCCGUUCCCCAUCGCUCGCUGCCAUUCCCUGUCGUUCCCCGUCAUUCCCCGCCGUUCUCCAUCCCCCACGCUGUACCCCGCUGUCCUCCGUUGUUCCCCGUCAUUCCCCGCCGUUCUCCAUCCCCCACGCUGUACCCCGCUGUCCUCCGUUGUUCCCCGUCGCUCCCCGUCGUCCCCAACACUCACCGCCGUUCCCCGUCGUCCCCCGCUGCUUGCUGCCGCUCACCGCUGUCCCCAGCUGCUCGCCGCUGUUCCCCGCCGUCCCCUGCCACUCCCUGCCGUUCCCAGUCGCUCGCCGCCGUUCCCCGUCAUUCCCCGCCGCUCUCUGUUGUCCCCCGUCACUCGCUGCCGUCCCCCGCCGCUCCCCGCCGUAUCCCCACUGCCGCCGCUCGCCCCCACUUGCCGCCGUCCCCUGUCGUCCCCUGUUGUUCACCGCCGCUUGAUGCUGUCCCCCGUCGUCCCCUGGCAUCCCCCAUCAUCUGCCGCUGCCCCCGCCGCUCUCCACCGUCCCCUGCCGCUCCCUGCCAUUUCCCCGCUGCCGCCGCUUGCCCCCACUUGCCUCCAUCCCCCGUCGUCCCCUGUUGUUCGACGCCACUCCCGCCGUCCCCCGUUGUCCCCUGGCAUCCCCCGUCGUCCGCCGUCGUCCCCCGCUGUCCCCCUCCGCUCCCUGCCGUUCCCCGUCAUUCCCCGUGGCUCUCUGACGUCCCCCGUCGCUCGCCGCCAUUCCCCAUCAUUCCCCGCCGCUCUCCACCGUCCCCCGCCACUCGCUGCCGUCUGCUGCCAUUCCCCAUCGCCUGCUGUUCCUCCGCUGCCACCACUCGCCCCCUCUUGCCGCCAUCCCCCGUAGUCCCCCGCUGUUCACCGCUGCUCGCCGCUGUCCCGUUGUCCCCCGCCGCUCACCACCGUCCCCUGCUGUUCCCCCGCUGCCACCGCUUGCUCCCGCUUGCCGCCGUCCGCCAUCGUCCCUCGUUGUUCCGCGCCGCUUGACGCCGUCUACCGUUGUUCCUCACCGCUCGCCGCUGUCCCCUGUUGUCCGCCAUCGUCCCCCGCUGUCCCCCGCCGCUCCCUGCCGUUUCCCGUCGCUUGCCGCCGUUCCCCGUCAUUCCCCGCCGCUCUGUCGUCCCCCGCUGCUUGCCGCUGUUCCCCGUCGUUCCCCAUCAUUCCCCGCCGCGCUCCGUCGUCCCCCGUUGCUCGCCACUGUCCCCCGC
This 1547-nucleotide long non-coding RNA is filed under the name Numida meleagris (helmeted guineafowl). Its description in RNAcentral is "lncRNA (ENSNMEG00000014327.1)". Lineage: Eukaryota; Metazoa; Chordata; Aves; Galliformes; Numididae. The record is from RNAcentral.